Peromyscus californicus insignis is the source of this 8550-nucleotide long non-coding RNA. RefSeq lists it as uncharacterized. Lineage: Eukaryota; Metazoa; Chordata; Mammalia; Rodentia; Cricetidae. The record is from RefSeq and is a predicted model, not a curated record. The transcript has 3 exons.
CACAACAAAAGCAUGCUUUAGACGCACACACAUCUGAAAAAUAACUUUUCCUUGGUCCACUUCUCUAAGUACACCAAAUCUAGCAGACUGCAGAGGCCUGUCUGCCAUUUGACCAGGAUACUGGGAAUGAAGAGGGUCUAUGUCCAGCUUGUUCUCAGACUGUAAGUGGUGCCACAGCACAUGCAGGCUUGUACAGCAGAAUGCAUAUUAACACUACUUACAUGUUCUAAGUGAGAACAAGGAGUAAGAAAUACGAUGAGGAACUUGACAAAAAGUUCCAAUCUCCACGCAACCCUGAUGGAACCUUGGUCCUGGCUCUAACCUACACCCUUCCUUUUGAAAGGUAAUCUGUUCAUGCUGACUACCAAAGAGACACAUUAUAAUCUUGUGUGUAAAAAGGCAAUGAUCUCUGGUUGGGUAAGCAUUAAGAUGGCCAGUUUUGUUUGUUUGUUUUGUGUGUACCUUUCUAUAUGCAUAUGUAACUCUGUGAUGUGCUAGCGUGGUGAUCUGGGCUGCAGAGCAUCUGCACUUAGGAGCCUGAGGAUGGAAGCUCAAGAGUUUGAGACCAACCUGAGCCACACAGUAAGAUGACUUUCAAAAACAAACAAACAAACAAACAAACAAACAAACAAACAAACAGUAUGUGAUUUAAAUAAUCAGUAACCGAGAUCCUGUGCAGUAAAUCUUAGAAUUAAAGAUAAUUCACUAUAUUACCCCACACAUGUAAGAUUUCUCUUUCUGAUGCUAACAUGUAAUCUAUCUUUCAUUUACAGCUAACAGUGUUUCUUGCAUGUACACCACUCAUUCCUGAAGCUUUGGGUCAGAGUCCAUGAAACAGGGUAACAAGAAAAGGAAUACACAAGCUGGUAAACAUGCAUCUGAACAUACGCAAAAACAGCCGCUUCCCUCUGUGGCAGAACAGGACAAGGUCACUGCACUGUGUGGGGACAGGUGACGAGGUCUAAGUACAGCGACACUGACUGAGCUUUCUUUUGUCAUUGUGCCAAGGAAGCUAAUGACCGCCGCCGCAGCAGACAGCAGAUCCUUCUUACUUCCCGACUGACCAAACAUCAAGUUAUUUCUUCUGCCUGUCUAAAAAACGGUAAGAUAAUACGACAAAAUUAACAAAAAUGAAAGAAAAGGCCACAAAACAGAAGAUGGAGUUUGUUUUGUGUUGGCCAACUACUCCUGAGCAUGGGGCCUGCCCUGGAGUGCAGAUGAUAUACCCAGUGACACUCCAUUGGAGAAAACUGAUUUUCUCUCUCCCAGCAGGUGUCAAUUGCCAAGAAAUGGUUGGUUAGGGCUGGGACUUUGUGUCCACUUCCCCUUCUCAGUGCUGGGAUACUGUGGGACUCGAACCUAUGCAGUUCUUGGGCACGCUGUCAAGUCUCUGUGAGUUCAUGUGUGCAUCAGUCCUGUUGUGUGUUGUGUGGAAGACACUGUUUCCUUGAAGUCACCCACCACGUCUGGCUCUUACAAUCUCUCUCCCUCCUCUUCCACAUGGUGCCUGAGCCUUGAGGGGAUGGGGUUUGAUGAAGACAUCCCAUUUAGGACUGUAUUAGGAUAGUAUUCCCAAGUCUCUCACUCUCUGCACACCGUCUAGUUGUGGGUCUCUGUGUUAACCAUCAUCUACUGCAAGAAGAAACUUCUCUGAUGAGGGCUGAGUGAGGCAUGCUCUGUGGGGUAGCACUGUGUCACACAGCCAUUUUAUUCCUGUCUUUCUUUAGCAGAGUAACAGUACUAGCUAGGCCCACUAGGCCCACUAGCUAACUGGUCUCAGGUUCUUGGCCGCUCCAGCAGUGUCAGGUAUGGGUUCCGUUUCACGUAGUGGGCCUUAAAUCCAGUUUUAAAAAAGUGAUUAGCUACCCCAAACAUUUGUGUCACUACUGCACCAGUCUAUCUUGCAGGCAGGCCACCGUAGGUUGUAGGGUUCAUAGCCGAAUGAUACUUGUAGCGCCAUGCAGUCUAGACAAAUCUCUCUCGCACGCGGUCCUGCAGCCGCUUAUAAAAUAAUCAUUCAAAGCCUUAAUAUUAAUAAUAAAUUAUAUGGCCUAUGGCUCAGGCUUCUUACUAGUUAGCUCUUAUAACUUAAAUUAACCCAUUUCUAUUAAUCUAUGUUUUGCCACACGUUCUGUGGCGUUACCUAUGUGCUAUUACAUGCUGCUCCCUGGACGGUGGGAUGGCGUCUUCUCUGCCUCUCCUUUCACUCUCUCCCUUGGAUAUUCCUGCUUGGCUCCAUCCUGCCCUGCCAUAGGCCAAAUGGCUUUAUUUAUCAACCACUCAGAGCAACACAUAUUCACAGCAUACAGAAAGAUACUGAUCACUUUUAUCCUCUGGUAGCAUGCAGAGUACCUUCCAGUACCAUGAAUGUGGGCCAGCAGAAGUGAAGCUUCUAAUUCAGUACCAGCUGGAUUUUUCCAUGCUCAGUGACAAUUCUAAGUGUCCUUAGUAAUAGGGUUUUACCAUUAGGAUGUGAUGAGCAAUCAAUAGCCUUGGUAAUAGUCUGUGAUGUUUAAGGAAGCCCAAGGGAUCCCUUUAGUCAAUGACUCAAUAAGAUGUAACCCAUUCCUAGAACUGGAGGUUUUACUUGGCAUAAGGGAUCUAGUUUGGGCAUUGUCUCCCCUAUAGUAUAGGGACUCCAUUUCUUUUCAUGUGAGUAUAUUUUAGGAAGCUUCUACAGCAGUAGGUUUCCAUAUGGCUUUCCAAAAGGCCUUCAGUGUUAGCUGUUCCUCUUCAAUUCCUUCCUUUUCCUACUCUCUCGUCCCUUUUCCCAGCUAAUUCUUCUAUUCCAACUUGCAAGAGCCAGAAGCCAUGGACAACUUCAAGGAAACAGUGUCUUCCAGAUACAGGACUGAUGCACACACUCCACAGUACUAUACUCUAUCCCCCUUUUUGGGAAAUCCCCUCAUCCCUGCUCCCUUGCCAUCCUAACCUCUGUGGUUAUUCAGGUGGUAGCAAACAUACUGAAAACUUAAAAGCUAACAGCCAUAUGUAAGAGGUAACAUGCUAUAUUUGCCUUUUUGGGUCCGGGUUAACCUCACUUGGGAUGAUUGCUUCUAGCUCUACCCACUUACCUGCCAAAUUCAUAAUUUUAUUUUUCUCAACAGCUGAAUAAUGUUCCAUUGUGUAAAUGUACCACAGUUUCAUUAUUGAUUCAUCACUUGAUGGACAUCUAGGUGUUUCCAAUUUCUGGCUAGUAGAAAUAGAGCAGCAAUGAACAUGCGUGAGUAAGUAUCUCCGCAGUCUUUUGGGUAUAUGCCUAAGAAAGGUAUUGCUGGAUCUUGAAGUAGAACAAUUCUCAGCUUCCCAAGGAACCUCCACGUUGACUUUCAUAGUAGCUAAACCAGUUUGCACCCCCGUCGGCAAUAAGUAAGUAUUCCCCUUUCCCCACAUACAUCCUCAACAGCAUCAGCUGUCAUUGGAUCUUGGCCAUUCUGACUGUGGGAAGAUGAAAUCGCAAAGCAAUUUUAACUUGCAUUUCUCUAAUGGCUAAGAAAUUUGAACAUUUCUUAUGUUUCUCUGCCAUUUGUGUUUUAUCUUUUGAGAACUGUCUUGAUUUGUUUUGUACUCCAUUUUAAAAGUGAGAUUUCUUUUUUGAUGUUCAGGGUUUUUUUUGUUCUUUGUAUAUUCUAGACACUAACCCUCUAUCAUAUGCUGUCAUUUUGCUUGAAUGAUAUAGCCUUUGCCAUAAAGAAGCUUUUCAGCUCCAUAGGGUCACAUUUAUUAACUAUUAGUUUUAAUGCCUAUGUCCUGUUCAGAAAGUCCUUUCCUGUGUCAAUGAGUUCAAGCUCAUGACCCACUUUCUUGUCUAUCAGAUUCAGGGUAUUUGGUCUUGUGUUGAGGUCUCUGAUGCAUUUGGAGUUGAGUUUUGUGCAGGGUCAGACAGACAUGGAUCUAUCUUCAUUCUUUUAUAUGUUGCCAUGCAGUUUCAAUGGCACCAUAUGUUGAAUAUAUUGUCUUUUCUCCAGUAUGUAUUUUUGGUUUCUUUAUUAAAAUCAGGUAUGUGGAAUUGUCUUCAGUUUGGUUCCACUGAUUGUUGUGUCUGUUUUUAAGCCAAUCCCAUGCUUUUAUUUAUUACUAUUGCUUUGUAAUAUGAUUUGAAAUCUGGGAUGGUGAUAGUACUAACAGUUCUUUCAUUAUUGAAUAUUGAGCCUGUCCUCGGUUUUUUUGUAUUUCCAUAUGACAUGAAGAUUGUUUUUUUGUUUUUUAAAUUUCUCAGAAGAAUUGUGUUGAAGUUUUGAUGGGGGACUGCACUGAAUUUGUAGACUGGCUUUAGUAGGAUGCCAUUUUCACAUUAAUAUUCCUGAUCCGUGAGCAUGUGAGAUCUUCCCACCUCCUGAUGUCUUCUUCAAUUUCUUUCUUCUGUGUCUUAAAAGUUUUUAUUAUACAAGUCUUUACCUUGUUUGGUUGAGGCUAUUGUAAAAGGUACUCUUUCCUUGCUCUCUUUCUCAGUCUGCCAUUGGUAAACAGGAAGGCUACUGAUUUUUCUGUUAAUUUCAUGUCCUAAUACUUUGCUGAAGUGUUUAUCAGCUGUAGAAGUUUCCUAGUGGAGUCUCUGAGGAUAUUUAUGUAUAAAAUCAUAUCUGCAAUAAGGAUACAUUGACUUCUUCCUUUCCUAGUUGUAUCCCUUGGUCUCCUUCAGUUGUCUUACUGCUCUAGCUAAGAUUUCAAGUACUAUAUUGAAUAGGAAUGGACAGAACAGACAACCUUUUUUUGGUUCCUGAUUUUACUGGAAAUGUUUAGAGUUUCUCUCUGCUUAGGAUGAUGCUGGCUGUGGCUUGCUCUAAAUAGUCUUUAUUAUGUUGAAGUAUGUCCCUUGUAUUCGUAGCCUCUCCUGGACUUUUACCAUGAAGGGAUAUUGGAUUUUAUCAAAGGCUUUUUCUUUAGCAAAUGAGAUGAUCAUGUAGUUUUUGUCUUUCAGACUGUUUAUGUGGUGGAUUAUAUUUAUUGACAUAUAUUUUGAAUCAUUCCUUCAUCUUUGGAAUGAAGCCAACUUGAUCAUGGUAGAUAACUUUUUUUUAUGUCUUCUUGAAUUUGGUUUACAAGUAUUUUAUUGAGAAUUUAUGCAUCUAUGUUCAUAAGGGAUACACACACACAUAUACACACACACCUGUGUGUUUUGAGUAUCAGGUUAAUAGUAGCUAAAAUUAGGUAGUAGUGUUCUUUCAGUUUUUAUUUUGCAGAAUAAUUUAAGGAGUAUUAACAUUAGUUCUUCUUUGAAGGUCUGGUAGAAUUGUGUACUGAAUCCAUUUGGCCCUGGGCUUUUUUGUGUUGGGAGAUUUUUAAAUUACUGCUGUUUCACUAGGGGUCAUGGGUCUGUUUAAACUGUCUAUUUCAUCUUGAUUUAGGCCAUAUAUAUCAAGAAACUGAUUCAUUUCUUUUACCUUUUCCAGUAUGGUGGAACAAAGGUUGUUAAAAUAUAUCCUUAGGAUUCUCUGAAUUUCCUCAGUGUCUGCUGUAAUAUUUCCCCUUUCAGCUCUAAUUUUAUUAAGGUGGACCUUCUCUCUCCAUCUUUUGGUUAAUUUGGCUAAGAGCUUGUCAAUCUUGUUGAUUUUCUCAAAGAACCAACUCUUCAUUUCAUUGAUUUUGUUAUUAUGUUUUGUUUCUAUUUCAUUGAUUCUGCCCUGAAACUCCAGAUGUGUUUAAUCAUUUCUCCCCACUCACUGUGUUUUGAGCAAUUCUUUUUCCUUCCUCCCUUUCUUUUUCCUAGAGCUUUCAGGUUUGUUGUUAAGUUACUCAAUCUCUCCAGUUUUCUAUGUAGGCACUUUGUGCUAUGAACUUGCCUCUUAGAACUGUAUCCCAUAGGUUCAGGUAUACUGUGUUCUCAUUUUCCUUCAGUUCUAAAGUUUGUAAUUUCCUUCUUGAUUUCUUGGUUCAAUUUUCAUUCAGUAGUGAGUUUUCAGUUUCCUUAGUUUGUUUAUUUUCUGCUAUUUCUGUUGUUGAUAUCAAGUUUUAAUCCAUGGUGGUCAGAUAGGAUGUGGGGUGUUAUUCCACUUUUCCUGUAUCAGUUGAUACUUGCUCUGUUUCCUAAUAUGUGGUCAUUUUGGAGAAAGUUCCAGGAGCUGCUGUAAAAGAAGCAUAUUCUUUAGUGUUUCAGUGAAAUGCUCUGUAAAUAUCUGCCAGGUCCCUUUGAUUUAUGAUGUUAUUUAACUCCAGUGCUCCCCUCUUUAGAUUUUUAUCUGGAUGACCUAUUUAUUGGAGAGAGUAGGGUAUUAAAGUCAUCCACAUUCACCAGGUUAGGGUCAAUACAUGAUUUUUGUUGUAGUGGUGUUUCUUUUAUGAACUUGGGUGCCCUUACAUUUGGUGUAUAAAUGUUUAGAAUUGCAAUAAUCUCUUGGUGGACUUUUCCUUUAAUGACCUAUGUAGUGACCUUCCCUAUCUCUUCUGAUUCGUUUUGAUUUGAAGUCUAUUUUGUCAGAUAUUAAAAGUUAUAAUUGUUUGCUUCUUGGUUCCAUUAACUUGAAAUAAUCUUUUCUAUCCUUUUACCCUGGGGUGAUGUCGGUCUUUGAUGGUGAGGUGUGCUUCUUAGAUGCAGCAGAAAUAUGGAUCCUGUUUCCUAAUCCAGUCUGUUAGUUUGUCUUUUUCUUUGGGGAACUGAGACCACUGAUAGUUACGGAUAACAGUGUUUACUGAUUCCUGUUAUUUGUUGUGGUACAAAUUCCUCCACCCUUCUCUCUUGAUUUACUGUUCUGGGAUUAUUUAUUAUGUCCUCUUGGGUGUAGUUAACUUCUUUCAGACUGAAGUUUUCCUUCUAGUGCCUUCUGUAGACUGGACUGGUGGACAGAAAUCUCUUAAAUUUUUUUUAUCGUGGAAUGUUUUUCUUUCUCUGUUUGCUGUGAUUAGUAGUUUUCUGAGUAUCGUGGUCUGGGCUGGAGUCCGUGGUCUCAGUUUGUAGAACAUCUAUCCAGGCCCUUCUGGCUUUCAGUUUCCACUGAAAAGGCAGGUGUUAUUCUAAUAGGACUCUCCUGAUAUGUGACUUGGCCUUUCCCCUUGAACUUGAAGCUUUUUUUUUUUUUUUUUUUUUUUUUUUGUUUUUCGAGACAGGGUUUCUCUGUGUAGCUCUGCGCCUUUCCUGGAACUCACUUUGUAGCCCAGGCUGGCCUCGAACUCACAGAGAUCCGCCUGCCUCUGCCUCCCGAGUGCUGGGAUUAAAGGUGUGCGCCACCACCGCCCGGUGGAACUUGAAGCUUUUAUGUCAUUUCUUAUUCUAUACAUUUAGUGUUCUAUUAUGUAUGGGGGAGAAUUUCUUUUCUGGUCCAGUCUAUUUGGUGUUGGUAUGCUUCUAAUACCUUGAUAGGGACCUCCUUUUGGCUGGGGAAAUUUCUUCUUUAAUUUUGUUAAAAAUAUUUCCUGUGCCUUUGAGUUAGGUUUCUUCAACUUCCUCUACCCCUAUCAUUCACAGAUUUGGGCUUUUUGUAAAAUCCUGGACUUCCUGCAUGUUUUGUACCUGGAUUUUUUUUUUUCAGGUAUAACAUUUUCUUUGAUUGACCUAUCCAUUUUUUUCUACCUUCUCUUCAAGACCUGAGGUUCUCUCUCCCAUGUCUUUGAAUCUGUUGGUAAAACUUACCUGAGGCUUCUGUUUGAUAUCCUGAGGACCCUCUUUAUAUGUGACUUGGCCUUUCUCCUUGAACUUGAAGCAGGUCUAAGUGACUAUUUCUUUGUUAAAUUCUAUUUCCAUGUCUUGAAUUGUUUCCACUAUUUCAUUCAACUUCAUGUGUUUUCAUGGUCUUAAUUGAGGCAUUUAUUCAUAUCCUCUUUAAGGUCCUAUAACACAUUCAUAGUUACUCUUUUGAAGUCCUUGUCUUAUGCUUCAGCUAAAUUGCUUUUCUUGGAGCUUAUUGCAGUAGGGUUGCUGGCUUCUGGAGGAGGCACACUGGCUUAGCUGUUCAUGUUUGUGUUUUUGCUUUGGGAUCUGGGCAUCUGGAGUUAGGAUGUUUGAAGUGUCUGCUGUGUAGAUAUCUCUCUUCUCUUUGUUGGGUGUGGGUGAGUGCUCUAUUCUUGGGUUGCUGUUCCUACUCUGUGUCUUAGCUAAUUGUGGUGGCUGUGGGGUUUCUGGUAGAGUGUUUCUACAGGUUGGUGGGUGUCACAAAAGAAUGGAAAUGGGUUAGAAGCCAAGGCUACACAUAGAAUUAGAGGGACCCUGGUUCUGUCUAGGAUGACUUGCAAAUACAGAAACAAACACAAUUUGUAUAAUAAAAGGAAGAAUAGGAAUUUGCCCUCUAUGCUCUUCUUUAUGGUCAAUCUACUAUAGCACAGUGGUUCUCAUGUCCACCAGGACCUUCUCCUCAGACCUGAACUCACAUUAUGAAUCUGCUAAAUCAUCAGGAGGGAGGGGCUGCUUUAACCUGAUCCCAAGACAGACGUGCAUUUUCUUGGGGUUUAGGCUGGGAACGCAGAUCAGCAAGAGUAACUGAUGGUGGAACACUGGCCUGUAUACUACUGGGAGCUAUGCACAUAUAUUUCACUAUCACGUGAGUCCUGGCAGGACCGCAUGUUCAGGGAUGAAGGCUGCCACUGAGAUGUUCGUUAGGAGAAGCUGCAAUCAGUCAG